Molecule: ribosomal RNA, 638 nt
Filed under: uncultured Clostridium sp.
Lineage: Bacteria; Bacillati; Bacillota; Clostridia; Eubacteriales; Clostridiaceae
Description: bacterial SSU rRNA
Rfam family: Bacterial small subunit ribosomal RNA
Source: RNAcentral
UUCUUCGGAAUGAAAAUAAGUGGAUUAGUGGCGAACGGGUGAGUAACACGUGAGUAACCUGCCUUACACAAGGGGAUAGCCUUUGGAAACGAAGAAUAAUACCCUAUGACGUCAAUUUAUCGCAUGAUAGAAUGACCAAAGAUUUAUCGGUGUAAGAUGGACUUGCGUCUGAUUAGCUAGUUGGUGAGAUAAAAGCCCACCAAGGCGACGAUCAGUAGCCGGCUUGAGAGAGUGUACGGCCACAUUGGGACUGAGACACGGCCCAAACUCCUACGGGAGGCAGCAGUGGGGAAUUUUGCACAAUGGGGGAAACCCUGAUGCAGCGACGCCGCGUGAUUUAGAAGGCCUUCGGGUUGUAAAAAUCUUUUUUAUGGGAUGAAAAUGACAGUACCAUAAGAAUAAGGUCCGGCUAAAUACGUGCCAGCAGCCGCGGUAAUACGUAUGGACCGAGCGUUGUCCGGAAUCAUUGGGCGUAAAGGGUACGUAGGCGGCCUAGUAAGUUAGAAGUGAAAUAAUAUAGCUCAACUAUAUAAAGCUUUUAAAACUGUUAGGCUUGAGAGAUGAAAGGGAAAGUGGAAUUCCUAGUGUAGCGGUGAAAUGCGCAGAUAUUAGGAAGAAUACCGGUGGCGAAGGCGACU